RNAcentral lists this ribosomal RNA (566 nucleotides) under PAH-contaminated sludge bacterium PB-10. Its description in RNAcentral is "bacterial SSU rRNA". It matches the Rfam family "Bacterial small subunit ribosomal RNA", at positions 43 to 604 of the family's 1533-position model. Lineage: Bacteria; Pseudomonadati; Pseudomonadota; Betaproteobacteria; Burkholderiales; Alcaligenaceae. The record is from RNAcentral.
GAUGCCUUACACAUGCAAGUCGAACGGCAGCACGGACUUCGGUCUGGUGGCGAGUGGCGAACGGGUGAGUAAUGUAUUGGAACGUGCCUAGUAGCGGGGGAUAACUACGCGAAAGCGUAGCUAAUACCGCAUACGCCCUACGGGGGAAAGCAGGGGAUCGCAAGACCUUGCACUAUUAGAGCGGCCGAUAUCGGAUUAGCUAGUUGGUGGGGUAACGGCUCACCAAGGCGACGAUCCGUAGCUGGUUUGAGAGGACGACCAGCCACACUGGGACUGAGACACGGCCCAGACUCCUACGGGAGGCAGCAGUGGGGAAUUUUGGACAAUGGGGGAAACCCUGAUCCAGCCAUCCCGCGUGUGCGAUGAAGGCCUUCGGGUUGUAAAGCACUUUUGGCAGGAAAGAAACGUCAUGGGUUAAUACCCCGUGAAACUGACGGUACCUGCAGAAUAAGCACCGGCUAACUACGUGCCAGCAGCCGCGGUAAUACGUAGGGUGCAAGCGUUAAUCGGAAUUACUGGGCGUAAAGCGUGCGCAGGCGGUUCGGAAAGAAAGAUGUGAAAUCCCA